RNAcentral lists this ribosomal RNA (110 nucleotides) under Scophthalmus maximus (turbot). The record is from RNAcentral. Lineage: Eukaryota; Metazoa; Chordata; Actinopteri; Pleuronectiformes; Scophthalmidae.
GCUUACGGCCACACCGCCUGGUAUACGCUUGAUCUCGGAAGAUAAGGUAGGUUGGGCCUGGUUAAGUACUUGGAUGGGAGACCGCCUGGGAAUACCAGGUGCUGUAAACU